Molecule: long non-coding RNA, 315 nt
Filed under: Androctonus crassicauda
Lineage: Eukaryota; Metazoa; Arthropoda; Arachnida; Scorpiones; Buthidae
Source: RNAcentral
AAUGGCUGCAUCGCGGUGCCGUAUGGCGUGCGGAGCUGCCCCGUAAUCAGGGAAGUGGCUGGGCGACAGAGGGGGAAAGUAGCGAUGGCGCGGAGUCCUACUGUGUUUGCCGCCCUUCGAGGUUCUAAAGAUGAGCUGAUGGAUAGCCGGGGGUCUGGCGUAUGCUCCAUCCCGGCGGUUCGCGAUGACACUGGACGGGCCUCUGCAUGCGUCGGUUGCGCAGCACGCACCCUGGCGGGGGGAGUGGAGGAGCACCGUGGAGAUGUGCGGCUGGGCAGCGUCUCCACGGGCCUGGCGGGGGCGUGUUGCGCGGAC